AUCCAGCAGACGAGUCCCAAAUAGGACGAAACGCGUGUCCUGGAU
RNAcentral lists this non-coding RNA (45 nucleotides) under Schistosoma mansoni. Lineage: Eukaryota; Metazoa; Platyhelminthes; Trematoda; Strigeidida; Schistosomatidae. The record is from RNAcentral.